This is a non-coding RNA of 370 nucleotides. It matches the Rfam family "Bacterial RNase P class B". Rfam says of the family: Ribonuclease P (RNase P) is a ubiquitous endoribonuclease, found in archaea, bacteria and eukarya as well as chloroplasts and mitochondria. Its best characterised activity is the generation of mature 5'-ends of tRNAs by cleaving the 5'-leader elements of precursor-tRNAs. The record is from Rfam.
GGUUUUGAGUAAUCGCGGUUUGUUAAAGCAAGCUGAGGAAAGUCCACGCCGGCAUAAGCUGCAAUGCUUAUAGUGUUCGCGUUCAGCCCAAUAAGCUGGAGCACUUGGAAUUCCAAGUGACGGCAGUUAACGUACUAAGGUGUAAUAACUAGGUACUAGUAGCUUGAAAGUGCCACAGAAACGCAGUCUUUUGGAAACAAAAGAAUGGAACGGGUAAACCCCACGAGCAGGAAACCCAAACUUUGGUCGGGGAGCUUCAAUACAAGGAAAUAAACUUACGUUGAAGGCAUUCAAUAGAAUGCAGAUAGAUGAUUACUGAAGGUUAGUAGCAGAGCGCUCGCCUAACUGGAACAGAACGUGGCUUAUAAAA